RNAcentral lists this unclassified non-coding RNA (79 nucleotides) under Parafilimonas terrae. RNAcentral describes it as "microRNA mir-684". The record is from RNAcentral. Lineage: Bacteria; Pseudomonadati; Bacteroidota; Chitinophagia; Chitinophagales; Chitinophagaceae.
AUGCAGAGCAGCCAUCAAAGCGUGGCCGUAAGUCUUUAAAAGAAAUUAAUCUUGAUGUUGCGCUGCUUGAUAUUCCUGA